Molecule: ribosomal RNA, 485 nt
Filed under: uncultured bacterium
Lineage: Bacteria
Description: SSU rRNA
Rfam family: Bacterial small subunit ribosomal RNA
Source: RNAcentral
AGGACGAACGCUGGCGGCGUGCCUAACACAUGCAAAUCGAACGAGGUCCAACCGGUGGCAACACUGGUGAAGACCGAGUGGCGAACGGGUGAGUAACACGUGAGCAACCUGCCUCGAAGACUGGGAUAACCCCGGGAAACCGGAGCUAAUACCGGAUACCCCCACCGGGUCGCAUGGCCUGGUGAGGAAAUGGAUUCCGCUUUGAGAGGGGCUCGCGGCCUAUCAGCUUGAUGGUGGGGUAAUGGCCUACCAUGGCACCGACGGGUAGCUGGUCUGAGAGGACGAUCAGCCACACUGGGACUGAGACACGGCCCAGACUCCUACGGGAGGCAGCAGUGGGGAAUCUUGCGCAAUGGGCGAAAGCCUGACGCAGCAACGCCGCGUGUGGGACGAAGGCCUUCUGGGUUGUAAACCACUUUCAGCAGGGACGAUUGUGACGGUACCUGCAGAAGAAGCCCCGGCAACUACGUGCCAGCAGCCGCGGU